Long non-coding RNA from Eucalyptus grandis, 397 nucleotides. RefSeq lists it as uncharacterized. Lineage: Eukaryota; Viridiplantae; Streptophyta; Magnoliopsida; Myrtales; Myrtaceae. The transcript has 3 exons. The record is from RefSeq and is a predicted model, not a curated record.
AUUCAAUGAUCGGUGGAUCGCGGUGUCCGCCAAGACGAUUCAAAUGGCGCGAGUGAGCAAAAGUGCCAUGAACUCCGAUUGUAGAGCCGACGAAGCGAGAAAAGUUGUGGGCUGCGAGAAGAGCAGAGCACGGACCGAGCAUUGGCGACAGCAUUGUUAAUCACCUGAGAUGCAUCCACCUUUUGGCGACGAAAUAUGAAGUUGUUCCUAGAUUUCCAAAUGUGCCAUAGGACGUAGGUGAUGGUAUUCUGAUCAGUAUUUAGCAAGAUUGGAGUAUGGUCCGAACCCACUAUUGGUAGUGCAAACACUUCAGCUUCGGGGAAUGCAAGACGCCAUUCAGGUGUAUAGAAAGCUCGGUCCAACCUUUCUUUGACUAAAUCAGCUCCUUCUUGAUUAU